This 1438-nucleotide ribosomal RNA is filed under the name uncultured organism. Its description in RNAcentral is "16S ribosomal RNA". It matches the Rfam family "Bacterial small subunit ribosomal RNA". The record is from RNAcentral.
GCUUAACACAUGCAAGUCGAGGGGCAGCAUGGUCUUAGCUUGCUAAGGCCGAUGGCGACCGGCGCACGGGUGAGUAACACGUAUCCAACCUGCCGUCUACUCUUGGACAGCCUUCUGAAAGGAAGAUUAAUACAAGAUGGCAUCAUGAGUCCGCAUGUUCACAUGAUUAAAGGUAUUCCGGUAGACGAUGGGGAUGCGUUCCAUUAGAUAGUAGGCGGGGUAACGGCCCACCUAGUCUUCGAUGGAUAGGGGUUCUGAGAGGAAGGUCCCCCACAUUGGAACUGAGACACGGUCCAAACUCCUACGGGAGGCAGCAGUGAGGAAUAUUGGUCAAUGGGCGAGAGCCUGAACCAGCCAAGUAGCGUGAAGGAUGACUGCCCUAUGGGUUGUAAACUUCUUUUAUAAAGGAAUAAAGUCGGGUAUGGAUACCCGUUUGCAUGUACUUUAUGAAUAAGGAUCGGCUAACUCCGUGCCAGCAGCCGCGGUAAUACGGAGGAUCCGAGCGUUAUCCGGAUUUAUUGGGUUUAAAGGGAGCGUAGAUGGAUGUUUAAGUCAGUUGUGAAAGUUUGCGGCUCAACCGUAAAAUUGCAGUUGAUACUGGAUAUCUUGAGUGCAGUUGAGGCAGGCGGAAUUCGUGGUGUAGCGGUGAAAUGCUUAGAUAUCACGAAGAACUCCGAUUGCGAAGGCAGCCUGCUAAGCUGCAACUGACAUUGAGGCUCGAAAGUGUGGGUAUCAAACAGGAUUAGAUACCCUGGUAGUCCACACGGUAAACGAUGAAUACUCGCUGUUUGCGAUAUACAGCAAGCGGCCAAGCGAAAGCGUUAAGUAUUCCACCCUGGGGAGUACGCCGGCAACGGUGAAACUCAAAGGAAUUGACGGGGGCCCGCACAAGCGGAGGAACAUGUGGUUUAAUUCGAUGAUACGCGAGGAACCUUACCCGGGCUUAAAUUGCAGAUGAAUUACGGUGAAAGCCGUAAGCCGCAAGGCAUCUGUGAAGGUGCUGCAUGGUUGUCGUCAGCUCGUGCCGUGAGGUGUCGGCUUAAGUGCCAUAACGAGCGCAACCCUUGUUGUCAGUUAUUAACAGGUUCCGCUGAGGACUCUGACAAGACUGCCAUCGUAAGAUGUGAGGAAGGUGGGGAUGACGUCAAAUCAGCACGGCCCUUACGUCCGGGGCUACACACGUGUUACAAUGGGGGGGUACAGAGGGCCGCUACCACGCGAGUGGAUGCCAAUCCCAAAAACCUCUCUCAGUUCGGACUGGAGUCUGCAACCCGACUCCACGAAGCUGGAUUCGCUAGUAAUCGCGCAUCAGCCACGGCGCGGUGAAUACGUUCCCGGGCCUUGUACACACCGCCCGUCAAGCCAUGGGAGCCGGGGGUACCUGAAGUGCGUAACCGAGAGGAGCGCCCUAGGGUAAAACUGGUGACUGGGGCUAAGU